CGAAAAUGUAAACAAAACAAAAUUCAGUAUCAAUAAUGCAAAUGAAGAUAAAGAAGAAACCAAGGAUAAUAUUGCAAGAAGAAAAGUGGAAGCCCCGAGUAGGAAGCCAGCAACGCCGACAUAUUUAUUCUGGAGUGAAUAGGUACAAAUUGAAGUUAAAAUUACACUUCUCAACAAGACUUUGUUCCUGGCAAUCAAAUCGCUCUAUUCUGAUGGAUUAUAUACUAAUUUUUAACCCUGUAGGAAUGAGAAGGGCCGAUUACAGCGAAGGGAUCGAUGUCGCAGAAGACUGAAAAGCUUUGCUUUGCAACCUAUCUGACAUGCUUCAUUUAUUUGAGAUGGAUAUGCAAGUCGAGAGUUGCUAUGAAAUUGAGGAAUCUCUUGACAUGCUGGUCAUUCAUAACCAAGCCAACUUGAACAAAUACAAGUUGAAUCAAUUGCAGCGUUUGACAGGAGCACAUUCACGUCAUGUGUCACCAUCUGUGCAAUGCAAAGCACUUCUUUCAGCCAGCUACGGAUAGGCGAAAGAUUGCAGUGUAUGCAAGUAAUUCCUCAUGAUGUGAACAAUAGUUAAUUUAAUCUAAAUCAGUUUUUCAAGACAGUACCUACCACCGAGGAUUGGCCAGUUGAUCUGUUUCACUAUUUUUUUUUUUUUGCAGAAAUUCACAUUUGAAUAUCUUCCUUUUACAUUUUUGGGCGUACUCUGUGAUGUAGUUGGUCUCUGGAAGUCAAUUGAAAUACCUUCCUUCAUUUAUGAUUUAUUGCUUUCGAUGCCGUCAACAUUUUCAAUUCAAUUCAAACCCGAAUCCAGAAUUACUCUACCAAUUUAAGCUCUUGAGAUAUUAUUUUGUUUGUAAUUCGAAAGCAAUUAUAUAUAUAUAUACAGAAAAGGCUUUUUGAAGCUAUCAACUUUAUGAAAUAGUUUUAUUUUCAAAAAAAAUGUUUGAUGAUUAUCAAAAUAUAUAAUAUCUUCCUUCAAUAUUUUCUUCCUUUACAAUAUUUUCCUAUUACGAAUUUGUAGUCUUGAGAUUAUAACAUCAUAUAACAUAUAACUAAUAAGAAAUUACAAAAACCAAGUGAAAUAAACAAAAUUAUUUGAACUGGAGCUAAAAGCAAAGAUAAUGUACUUUGUAAAAUCAUCUUGCAGUUUAAAGUUAAGAGAUACGUCAUGCUUUACCGGUUUUAAAAACCGGAUGUAAUAGAAACAUUUUAAGGUGAUGUUCAAAGUCCGGAUAUCUUAAUCCUCUCAAAAAAGAACGAGUUUCUGAUUAAUGCUAUUGACCACAUGAAAUCACAAAGAAAUACAUACGAACGUACUGAAUCAAAACAUAGGAAUAGGAUUAAAAAUAUUAAGUUUUUAAUUUAAACACAUGUCUGA
This is a long non-coding RNA of Eupeodes corollae, 1378 nucleotides long. RefSeq lists it as uncharacterized. The transcript has 4 exons. NCBI's taxonomy places the organism in Eukaryota, Metazoa, Arthropoda, Insecta, Diptera, Syrphidae. The record is from RefSeq and is a predicted model, not a curated record.